Molecule: ribosomal RNA, 688 nt
Filed under: Arthrobacter sp. ISP5-41-18
Lineage: Bacteria; Bacillati; Actinomycetota; Actinomycetes; Micrococcales; Micrococcaceae
Description: bacterial SSU rRNA
Rfam family: Bacterial small subunit ribosomal RNA
Source: RNAcentral
CGAACGAUGAUCCCUGGCUUGCUGGGGGGAUUAGUGGCGAACGGGUGAGUAACACGUGAGUAACCUGCCCUUGACUCUGGGAUAAGCCUGGGAAACUGGGUCUAAUACCGGAUACGACCAUCUGGCGCAUGUCAUGGUGGUGGAAAGCUUUUGUGGUUUUGGAUGGACUCGCGGCCUAUCAGCUUGUUGGUGGGGUAAUGGCCUACCAAGGCGACGACGGGUAGCCGGCCUGAGAGGGUGACCGGCCACACUGGGACUGAGACACGGCCCAGACUCCUACGGGAGGCAGCAGUGGGGAAUAUUGCACAAUGGGCGCAAGCCUGAUGCAGCGACGCCGCGUGAGGGAUGACGGCCUUCGGGUUGUAAACCUCUUUCAGUAGGGAAGAAGCGAAAGUGACGGUACCUGCAGAAGAAGCGCCGGCUAACUACGUGCCAGCAGCCGCGGUAAUACGUAGGGCGCAAGCGUUAUCCGGAAUUAUUGGGCGUAAAGAGCUCGUAGGCGGUUUGUCGCGUCUGCUGUGAAAGACCGGGGCUCAACUCCGGUUCUGCAGUGGGUACGGGCAGACUAGAGUGCAGUAGGGGAGACUGGAAUUCCUGGUGUAGCGGUGAAAUGCGCAGAUAUCAGGAGGAACACCGAUGGCGAAGGCAGGUCUCUGGGCUGUAACUGACGCUGAGGAGCGAAAGCAUG